AGGGAAUCUUCCACAAUGGACGCAAGUCUGAUGGAGCAACGCCGCGUGAGUGAAGAAGGUUUUCGGACCGUAAAGCUCUGUUGUUGGUGAAGAAGGAUAGAGGCAGUAACUGGUCUUUAUUUGACGGUAAUCAACCAGAAAGUCACGGCUAACUACGUGCCAGCAGCCGCGGUAAUACGUAGGUGGCAAGCGUUGUCCGGAUUUAUUGGGCGUAAAGCGAGCGCAGGCGGAAUGAUAAGUCUGAUGUGAAAGCCCACGGCUCAACCGUG
This 269-nucleotide ribosomal RNA is filed under the name uncultured bacterium. RNAcentral describes it as "partial 16S ribosomal RNA". It matches the Rfam family "Bacterial small subunit ribosomal RNA", at positions 356 to 617 of the family's 1533-position model. The record is from RNAcentral.